Long non-coding RNA from Oxyura jamaicensis (ruddy duck), 3084 nucleotides. RefSeq lists it as uncharacterized. The record is from RefSeq and is a predicted model, not a curated record. NCBI's taxonomy places the organism in Eukaryota, Metazoa, Chordata, Aves, Anseriformes, Anatidae. The transcript is spliced from 3 exons.
UUAGGCAAAUAUAGUCUGAUAAGAAAACAUUUGAAGAGAAAAAGAAAAACCAUGAGAUAGUUUCCCAGCUAACCUAACUUGACUACUAAAAUCUAUUUUUAUCUAUAUUUGAAGGGAGAAAAAUCCUGAGAUUCCCUGUCAUUUAAAAUAUAAAUUACUAACUUAAAAGGUACUGUUAACUUGAAAUUACCACAGUUGCUUUGGGCAUAUCAUUCAUUGUAUUUACCUAAGGUCCCUCCCUGAUAAAAUGUUGCCAGGGCAAUGAUGCGUAUUUGAAACUUUUUGUUCUGUUUUUCAGCUCAGUACAGAAUGGAAGUGUCUUGUGUGACUGCAGGAAGUGAGAGGAAUGUUCUGGGAUUUUGAAAUUAAGAUUAAAACACCAGAUUAAGAUUGGGAGUCUUGUUUUGGGUUCUGUUCAGUAUGGGCAAAUUUCCUGGUGAGGGGAUAAAAAUCUACAGACUUUGACUGUAAUAGAGCAUUUCUGGAAAGCAAUUUGAUAAACCCAAUUAACUGCAAAUCUAAUUCAGCUGUUUGCAUACAGCAGAACAUGUUUAGUGCUAAUUUGUAUUAUGUUGCAUAACUUUAAAUUGAUUUUCAUGGCUUUUCUUCUGGCAUAAAUGACAUUUACAUUUAGUUAGUAUGAAAAGGUUUAAUUUUGAUAUAAGGAAAAUGUGCAUAAGUACACAUAGGGUGUACUGUACUGUACAUGAUUUUGGCAAUAGAAGUACAAUUAUUUUUAUUUCUUUAAUCUGUACUUCUGUUUUUUUAGUCCUUUGCUUGGCAUCUUUUAGUUUCUCAGGUUAGUUUUAUAAGUAUAUUCUUAAAUCUUUUAUUUAGUUACACAGAUGGAGGAUAUUGACACUUACUUGCUUUUCUCCAGUGCUUGGAAUGUCUACUGAUCCAUAAAACACUGGCAUUUGUAUGUAUAUCUUGUAGAAAAUAGAAGUAUAUGGCAUGCAACUAACUUGCAAAAACAUUGUGAUCAACCCAUUUUUGAAGGCCUUCUAGAAACCUUAGUAAUCUUGCUGAAGAAGAUGCCUCUUGUUUCCUGCAGCCGUGGGAUGUCCCUAUGCAUCAGCCAGCACCUCUUUCCACCUAUACACCACACAAAACAUCCAAGCAUCUUUCCUCAUUUGUCAAAAGUGCAUAUGAAGGUUCUCCUAAAGCACUCCCUGAGCCCUCAUCUCAUUCAGUCCCAGGUUACAGAGGCAUCUACAGUGCUAAAAGAGGAUUAGUGGACCGUAAGGAGUGGAUGAGAAGGAUCUGAGCAGCUUCAGGCAGGAAGGAGAAAUGUUUUUAAAAAUUAUAUAUUUUUUUUUAAAUGAACUGUUUCAGCUGAACUUAGUGUGAAACAAUGCCAAGCUGUCAGCAUGAAUGUUAUGCUAGUGCUGUUAACAUUAGCAAAAAUCCAUGCGUGGUUUGUUUCUUUUGCACAAAUGGGAAGAAGCCCAAGUGUGGAUUAGAACUUGAUUAAAACUUUCAAGCUGUUUGAAUACAAUUUUCUACAGAAAUUGAAUUUCAGUAAUAAAUCACAAUUUCAGAAACCUUAAUUCCUUGAAAUUGUCACUGUAAGUAUGCAAUCCUUCUCAUGAGAGUAGGAUUGCCCUCAUUCAUAGCAAAUUUGCAGGUGCCUCUGGGAAGGACAUUCUUCUGCAAGCUUUCCCUAAGGUGCUUGCCGGGAAUAUGGCACUCUAAAAGAUCUGUACAGCUACAGCCUCCAUCUUCAAGAGGCAAAAAGUACAUGAUAAAAAGAUACUUCACAUGUUAGAAUAUAGAAGAAAUUAUGAGUCUUUAAAGACUUGCACUAAGGAGAGUUGUUGUCUUAACCUGCUGAGCUUUUGGUAAAAAGUUGAAGAUGUAAAUGUGGAUCUGAUGCUGCAAAAACUUACGCAGGUGCUUAAAACUAAGCAUUGGAGCACCACUUCAAUACAUUUAUUAAAGUUUGCGGUGUUGAGCCCUGUGUUGAAUGUGCUUCAAUCUCUUUUACUUUUAUCCUCUGAUGCAACAAAUCUUUCUAAAUAAGUAAAUAGAACUAAUAACCACUGGGCCUUUCAAAGGCAUUUGUCAGUAUGAGCUUUAAAAUUGAUUUUUCUUUUGAUUUCUUAGCUGUUUUAGCUAUAGCAACAUCCCUCCCAAAAUCAAUCAACAAAACUGUGCACCUGAAGGUAUAUUUUUCAUCUUAAAGUCAUUUUCACUCCAACUCUUUUUUGCCAUAUACACAAUAUCAUGUAUGGGCUAGGAAUGGAAAAAUCACUCUGAGGAUAUUCUAAUUCUUGUAAUUAAGCAAAUAAAAAUUGAUGUUGAAGUAAGUUGUUUUCUUAGUAAGCAGUGCUCUCUGUGGCUCUUUAAGAGCUGACAGUGAUUUUAUAUCUAAUACAAAAUAGAGAUACUCUUAAACAUUAUAAUGUAUAGAGCAUUGUAAUACAAAACGUUUUUAAUGCUUUGUAAUGCUUUUAAAUUGACAAAAAAAAAAAAAAGGGAUAGAAGACUAGGCCUCACUUCCUCUGUUCAAAUAGCUUCCAUUUCUACACCUGUUUUCUAUACGGAUUAUUUUCUCCAGAAUUUAAUCUCACCAUUUGUUGAUUCUCUGUCAUUUCACCAUCUCUGGCUGUGAGCAUCCAGGGCCUCCAUAAAACAGGGCUGCUGAAAGAUUAAGAUAGAAAAGCACUCCCACAGUUAAUUCUCUGUCGUAAUAUCCAUACAGUAUCCUUACAAUACAAAUGCUUUUGUUAGAUUCUGCUGGCAUCUUUUGUAUUAACUUUUUUUCCACCACAUAUUGGUCAUAGAGUCAUAUAAUAUCUGAGUUGGAAGGGACAUAUUUUGAUUUGGUAAAUCUGAUUUCUAUGGCAAUAUUAAUCUGUCCUCUGUCUAUGAUCUGAUUAAACAAGUUAGACAAUCACUUGCACAUUUUUAACUAAGGUAUCAUUUCCUAUUAAGAUUUCACAGCUCAAAAGGACUGCACUGCACUCCAAAUUAUGAUGUAAUUAAUACUGAAAUCUUUUUUGUUUAUGCAGAACUGCUACAAAAUAAAAAAGUAACUCUCCUUCUCUGAUGCUAUAUCUAAUUAAAGGUUACAUAUGGUCA